CCCGCCCGGUGCUCGAGCCGGUGCGGGUCGGGGACUUCGGGUCGAUGGGCGUGUGGGCGGACCCGACCGGGGCCGCGUUCGGGGUGUGGCAGCCGGGGC
This 99-nucleotide transfer RNA is filed under the name Kocuria flava. RNAcentral describes it as "tRNA-Arg". The record is from RNAcentral. Lineage: Bacteria; Bacillati; Actinomycetota; Actinomycetes; Micrococcales; Micrococcaceae.